Molecule: long non-coding RNA, 366 nt
Filed under: Vitis vinifera (wine grape)
Lineage: Eukaryota; Viridiplantae; Streptophyta; Magnoliopsida; Vitales; Vitaceae
Description: long non-coding RNA (VVIN_LNC003294)
Source: RNAcentral
CAAUUUUGGCCUCAGGAAUCCUGGAUGCUGGUGGAAGGAAUGUGACCAUAAGGUUGCUUUCUAAGACAAAACAUGAUAAAGUCACUGCAGUUGUUGGGCUUGCUGUUUUCAGCCAGUUUUGGUAUUGGUAUCCCCUUAUCUAUUUCAUUAGUCUGUCCUUCUCGCCCACUGCUUUUAUUGGACUGAACUACGACUUGAAAGUCCCAACGUUUGAGUUCUUAUCUCAUGCAAAACCUUCGCUGUUUGAGUACCCUCGACCAACCACCGUGCCCACUGCUACAUCUACUGUGAAACUUCCCACUGCGGUUUUAUCAACAUCAGCAAAGGCAAAAGCUAGGGCUAAAAAAGAGGCUGAACAGAAAGUUA